RNAcentral lists this ribosomal RNA (465 nucleotides) under uncultured bacterium. RNAcentral's name for it is "partial 16S ribosomal RNA". It matches the Rfam family "Bacterial small subunit ribosomal RNA", at positions 28 to 507 of the family's 1533-position model. The record is from RNAcentral.
GACGAACGCUGGCGGCAUGCUUAACACAUGCAAGUCGAACGGAAAGGCCCCGUUUGGGGUCGUCGUGUGGCGAACGGGGGUGUAACACGCCAGUAACCUUCCCUUGACUUCGGGAUAACUUCAGGAAAAUGGGGCUAAUUCCGGAUAGGAAUCCUUGCUGCAUGGUGGGGGUUGGCAAGCUUCGGCGGUUUUGGAUGAGCUGACGGCCUAUCAGCUUGUUGGUGGGGUAGUGGCUUACCAAGGCUGUGACGGGUAGCCGGCCCGGGAGGGCGACCGGCCACAUUGGGACUGAGAUACGGCCCCGACGCCGACGGGAGGAAGAAGGGGGGAAGAGUGAUCAAGGGGCGCGAGCCUGAUGCAGAAACGCCGCGGGCGGGAGAGCGGCCUACGGGUUGUGAAAGGAAUUCAGCAUGAGCGCAGCUUGUGGUGACGGUACCUGCAGAAUAAGCACCGGCUAACUACGUG